UAAAUAUUUUGCCGUGCUAGAAAACGCUUGUGCUGUACUCUCGCAUAGCAUCAGCGUUUUUCAGCCAGUCAGGUUAUUAGGACAGCCGUUUAGCAUGCGGCAGCCCUGAUCACCUCACUUUAAAAUGGCAACGUUGAUGGAGGACUCUACAUCUAUGUCUGCCACAUAUAUGGUGGAUGUCUCUGCAAGAGACAGCCCCAUCAACAUUAGAAAGCUUCAUAAGAGAGCUUUCCUUGGGAGGGACCUAUCUUUUUACUUCUGAGGAGGAUAUGGUCCCAG
Molecule: non-coding RNA, 279 nt
Organism: Pelobates cultripes (western spadefoot toad)
Lineage: Eukaryota; Metazoa; Chordata; Amphibia; Anura; Pelobatidae
Source: the annotation of a GenBank genome assembly